GACGAACGCUGGCGGCGUGCCUAAUACAUGCAAGUCGAACGCAUUUUCUUUCACCGUAGCUUGCUACACCGAAAGAAAGUGAGUGGCGAACGGGUGAGUAACACGUGGGUAACCUGCCCAUCAGCGGGGGAUAACACUUGGAAACAGGUGCUAAUACCGCAUAAUUCCAUUUACCGCAUGGUAGAUGGAUGAAAGGCGCUUUUGCGUCACUGAUGGAUGGACCCGCGGUGCAUUAGCUAGUUGGUGGGGUAACGGCCUACCAAGGCUGCGAUGCAUAGCCGACCUGAGAGGGUGAUCGGCCACACUGGGACUGAGACACGGCCCAGACUCCUACGGGAGGCAGCAGUAGGGAAUCUUCGGCAAUGGACGCAAGUCUGACCGAGCAACGCCGCGUGAGUGAAGAAGGUUUUCGGAUUGUAAAACUCUGUUGUUAGGGAAGAACAAGGGUGAGAGUGGAAAGUUCAUCCCUGGACGGUAUCUAACCAGAAGGCCACGGCUAACUACGG
Molecule: ribosomal RNA, 506 nt
Filed under: uncultured bacterium
Lineage: Bacteria
Description: partial 16S ribosomal RNA
Rfam family: Bacterial small subunit ribosomal RNA
Source: RNAcentral